Molecule: ribosomal RNA, 436 nt
Rfam family: Bacterial small subunit ribosomal RNA
ACGGGAGGCGCAGUGGGGAAUAUUGGGCAAUGGGCGAAAGCCUGACCCAGCAACGCCGCGUGAAGGAAGAAGGUCUUCGGAUUGUAAACUUCUUUUAUGAGGGACGAAGGAAGUGACGGUACCUCAUGAAUAAGCCACGGCUAACUACGUGCCAGCAGCCGCGGUAAUACGUAGGUGGCAAGCGUUAUCCGGAUUUACUGGGUGUAAAGGGCGCGUAGGCGGGGAUGCAAGUCAGAUGUGAAAUCUAUGGGCUUAACUCAUAAACUGCAUUUGAAACUGUAUCUCUUGAGUGCUGGAGAGGUAGAUGGAAUUCCUUGUGUAGCGGUGAAAUGCGUAGAUAUAAGGAAGAACACCAGUGGCGAAGGCGAUCUACCGGACAGUAACUGACGCUGAGGCACGAAAGUAUGGGGAGCAAACAGGAUUAGAUACCCUGGUA